This is a long non-coding RNA of Chiroxiphia lanceolata (lance-tailed manakin), 623 nucleotides long. RefSeq lists it as uncharacterized. The transcript has 6 exons. The record is from RefSeq and is a predicted model, not a curated record. Lineage: Eukaryota; Metazoa; Chordata; Aves; Passeriformes; Pipridae.
UUUAAUGAUAGACAGAACCCUUAAGCCAGACUGGAUCUGAUGGCUCUUGGGACAUGCUUGAGAAAAUAACAGCUUAUUACUGCUCACUCUCCAAGAAAGAACAGGAAAUUAGAGCUCUGAAAUGGAAGUGAUUUAAAAAUAAUAGUAGAAAUGUAAUGUAGCGUAGCAACAAAGGUCAUAUUUCAUGAUUUUCCCCACUGUGUAACUCCGAAGCAGUGCACAGGUUGAAGUAAGUGACAGUUCAGCUAAAAACAACAGAGCAGCUAAAUUACUCCUAGUACCACUGCCUUUUGUAUGCUAAAAUCAGUACAUCAAAUUCAGACACACGGCCCACACAGAUGGCGUGAGUGACUAACACCUGCCUGCCCUGUGCACAGCCUACACACUGAUGUCAUGAGAGGAGGCCAAUACCUCCGAGGAUUUUUAAAGGAGUGACCGUGCAAGAAGACUUUCUCAGGCACUUAAUAAUAUGCGUAUAUACUUAAAAGAGAGAAACUUUGCCUCAUAAACUGCACUUGCAAAAGUAGGAAAGAGGCAAAGAUUUGGAAUAAUAUAGUGCAAGGACACAAGCUGCCCUGACACACAGCUUCUGUUGCAGAGGAAGAACAGGAGGAAAUGAGGAG